GUCUACAGCCAUGCCACCUAGAACGCAUCCCAUCUCAUCUGAUCUUGGAAGCUAAGGAGGGUCGGGCCUGGUUAGUACUUGGAUGGGAGACCACUUAGAAAUACCAGGUGCUGUAGGCG
This 119-nucleotide ribosomal RNA is filed under the name Pteropus alecto (black flying fox). The record is from RNAcentral. Lineage: Eukaryota; Metazoa; Chordata; Mammalia; Chiroptera; Pteropodidae.